GCGCAUUCUUAAACCCUCUUGGCGGCGCUCCGAUCGCCCCCAGGAUAUGAGUGAAUGCGAUAGAAACCGCAGGGGAGUCCAAAGGGCUGCGCCCCCUCCCCGUGGCGCGGCCUUAUUUCAUACCUGCGACAUCA
Sorex araneus (European shrew) is the source of this 134-nucleotide small nucleolar RNA. NCBI's taxonomy places the organism in Eukaryota, Metazoa, Chordata, Mammalia, Eulipotyphla, Soricidae. The record is from Ensembl.